Molecule: ribosomal RNA, 436 nt
Filed under: uncultured bacterium
Lineage: Bacteria
Description: partial 16S ribosomal RNA
Rfam family: Bacterial small subunit ribosomal RNA
Source: RNAcentral
AACGAACGCUGGCGGCAGGCCUAACACAUGCAAGUCGAGCGGCCUUUCGGGGGAGCGGCGGACGGGUGGGUAACGCGUGGGAAUAUGCCCUUCUCUACGGAAUAGCCUCGGGAAACUGAGAGUAAUACCGUAUACGCCCUUUGGGGGAAAGAUUUAUCGGGGGGGGAUUAGCGCGCGUUGGAUUAGGUUGUUGGUGGGGUAGUGGCCUACCAAACCGACGAAGGAUAGCUGGCCUGAGAGGAGGAUCAGCCACACUGGGACUGAGAGACGGCCCAGACUACUACGGUAGGCAGCGGGGGGGAGUAGUGUACAAUGAGAGGGAGACGGAUGUAGAAACGCCGCGCGGGGGAAGACAUACUGCGGGUAGUGAAAAGCAGUCCUUUGAGACGAAGCGUGAGUGACGGUAAUGGAAAAAGAAGCACGGGCUAACUCCGUG